RNAcentral lists this long non-coding RNA (781 nucleotides) under Helianthus annuus (common sunflower). RNAcentral's name for it is "hypothetical non coding rna". The record is from RNAcentral. Lineage: Eukaryota; Viridiplantae; Streptophyta; Magnoliopsida; Asterales; Asteraceae.
UUCAUAACCUCAACCAUCGGCACCAUGUACCCUUGUCAUUUCAUCAGACUGAAACACCACCACUAGAUCGCAAUCCUGCCACCAUCGACCAUCAUCACCAUCGACCUCCACAGUCCCCCCACCAUCGACCUUCAUAAAAGACGUCGGUUCCCACACCAAAACCCCUAAUUCUUCAUCCACAUCCAGAACCUUAACCUUAAUUCCCCUGUGAUCAUUUCACAAACAAAUAUUAAAGGAAACAUAUUUGGGGGUUUAGUUCCACAAGUGAUGGUGGUGCUUUAUCUCAGUGAUUAGUUAUAUAUUGAAGUUUCCGGUGGUGGUGCUUCGUCUCACUAUUAAAUUUGAAGUUUCCGGCGCCGAUGGUGAUUGUUUUGUUGGAAUUUAUCCAUGUGAUUAGUUGUACAUAACCUACACUACAGUGAUGGGUAUUAAAGAUUUGAUUUUUACAGUGGUGGGGGUGAAGCUUCUGAAAGAAGUGACGGAGUGUAGUGAUGUUAAGUUUGGUGAUGUUACAUUUACUUAGCUUAAUUAAUAUUGGUAUGUGAUUCACGUCCUUGUAGUUCUUUUUUUCCAGGUUUUGAGUUUUUGGUUAGUUAUUAGAUAAUUUUUAUUCUUUUAAGUUGAAUGUUUGUUAGAUAAUUGAAUUCUUGUAAAAAGCUUCAUGUUUGUCGACUAAGGAAUGCAUAUUUUGAUUUUAUCAUUUUCAGCUUGUUACUUUUAAUUGAACAAGUGGAUGGUGGUGAUGGCAAAGAACGAUACAUGGUUGUCCGAUGAAGUUUAG